Felis catus (domestic cat) is the source of this 1034-nucleotide long non-coding RNA. RefSeq lists it as uncharacterized. The transcript has 2 exons. The record is from RefSeq and is a predicted model, not a curated record. NCBI's taxonomy places the organism in Eukaryota, Metazoa, Chordata, Mammalia, Carnivora, Felidae.
CCAGGCAGUCUCCACGCUCAGCAUGGAGCCCAAUGCUGGGCAAGAUCCCAUGACCCUGGGAUCAUGACCCAAGCCGAAUUCAAGAGUCAGACACUCAACCGACUGAGCCAUCCAGGUGCCCCGAUCAGAGUAAUCUUAAUUAAGAUCAUGCCCAGUAGGGAUCAAACUUUAGCCCACAGCAUAAGAUUAGUACACCUUAGAUUACUAAUAAGCAUAUUUAGAAAUAAUAUAAAAACCAAAAGGGAUUUUCUCUCCCUUAUGUAGAUUAUGGGAUACUGGGGAGGGAAACUGCUUUCCUCUCUCAUACUCAACAAUAUUUAGUAGUAUAUAUAAAGUAUUGUGCCAGUUAGAUGCCAAAAAUUCAUCUAAAAAGUCAUGAUGUUGUCUUUAAUAUUGUUAUAAUCUACAUGGGAAGACAAAACUAUUAUACAUAGAAACUACAGUGGUUAUAUAAACAGCAAAUAUUAUAGGCAUUGUAUAGUAAAGGUUAUCAGAACAGGGAGAGAUCAUUGUUGGUAGGAUGGUCAAGGCCAGCUAAAUGAGAGAAUUCAGAGUCUCGCAGUUUGAAAGGAUCUCGAAAUCAUCUUGUCAUAACCCAUUUAGGGAUUGACUAGUCGGCAGUCAGUUACCUCUAAAAAUUGCACAUUUAACAUUUUUGGAUGAGACUAAAUCAUAAAAUAUUUAUUAAUUUAGACUUGGGAGCUUUUUUGCUAGCUAUUUAUUGCCUUAAGAGGAACUCUAAAUACUAUUAGGAAUCCUUGGUAUUCUUCUUUUGAUAACCAUUUAGUGUGUAUUCUCUUCUUGAUAGCUCCAGCUGGAUGAAUGCUGAAGGAACCAUUCAUUUUUAUUGUUGAAUGUGGUUAGAGCCACUAAAUCAUUUGGGGACUCCAGAAGAUCAGUGUGACAGAAACUUCCAUCAGCAUCAAGUGACCAGGGACUAAUAAAUCUAAGAUUUUUUGUUCCCCCUGGCAUAGUUCAUGAUUAUUCAGAAACUACUUUGCUGGAACAUAUAAAUGAAAAAACAUUCUAACAGU